This is a non-coding RNA of Cinara cedri, 523 nucleotides long. The record is from the annotation of a GenBank genome assembly. Lineage: Eukaryota; Metazoa; Arthropoda; Insecta; Hemiptera; Aphididae.
CAUUAUGAACAACGGUUUUGUUAUUAUUACAACUUUGGUUGUUGGUGUUAUCGUGCAUGCGCAGGCUGCCAUACAACCUAAGAUAAUAUCUAUGAUUGCAAAAUUGAACUUACUGAAAUGAUGUUAUCAACAAUUAAUGCAUCGUUAAGUUAGCCCACGAAUGUUGUAGAUAAUAAUACAGUGAUGCCCACGUAGGUUACCAAGUAAUACAACUGCAUUAGUAGUCAAAUGGUCGAAUGGAGUGGGUAGUUCAUCAUAGAAAUCUUGUACAUUUAAAUUUAAUAAACGUUACCGAAAAAGUUAACAUUACAAGCUUGUAUAAUGUAUAUUGUCUGAUAGUUCUAAUAAAAUAGAUAUUUAAACAAAUUAUUUAAGUUGGUUUAGUCGAUGAUUUCGUUUUUUUACAUUUUGUAUGUGUUUAUUUCAAUAUCCCUACCUAUAAUUAUUGUUGUAAUAAACUAAUAAUCUAUCCAUUUAUAUUUAAAUAUUUUGUUAUGAGUUUUUCACCGACCUUUGACCCUUG